CAAUAGGUGUUUCUAAACACCAUAGCUGUUCAUUUUACAGCUUCUU
Non-coding RNA from Sus scrofa (pig), 46 nucleotides. Lineage: Eukaryota; Metazoa; Chordata; Mammalia; Artiodactyla; Suidae. The record is from Rfam.